AUGCACUGUACAUAACUUUAACACACUGUAAAAGAGAUUCUCCAAAAUUAAAAUAUUAUAUAAUAUUUCAAAUAUUAUUUAAAUAUACAUUCUUGUCAUACUUUAUCAAAAGCCUUUUCAAAGUCAGCUAUGAAUACCAGGCCUGGUUUCCCAGAUGUUUCGUGGUGUUCUAUUGCUUCCAGUUCUUGUCUUAUAUUAUCUGUACUGUUUCGUCCAUAUGUCCGAUUAGGAUGAAUAAUACCUUUUAAUUCUAUGCGCUAUGCAAUUUGCUAUAAUCUUUGCAUCACAACACGGAAGUGUAAGGGGCCUCCAAUUUUUUUUAUAGACUGGAUCUUUAUAUUUACCACUUGGGUCCUGUUUCAGUAAUAAUGAAAUCAGACCUUCCUGUUGAGUAUCUGAUAAUCUACCAUUUUUAUAGGAGUGGGUAAAACAUGCUAAUAACGGUCUUUGGAGUACAUCAAAAAAAGGUUUGCUUUACCUCAACUGGUAUGCCAUCCAGCACUGGAGUUUUCCCGGACUAAAAGGCUUUAAUAGGCUCUAUGCAUUAUACCGCCUCCCACAUUCUAUUUUACUUCCUACGGGUGCGCUGACUUUCGGAGCGAUUUUCGCUAUUGUUUUUAUCAUUAGCUUACUAGCUAGCUAACUGUCGUCGAUGCAUUUCUGACUGAAAUUGUUCGCAAUGACUACAUUUAAAUUACAGCCCCGUGAAGGACGUGCUAAUGAACAUUGUUCAGUGCCGCUGUGUUCAUUUUCUUCAAAGUGUAAUGGUAUUGUGAGCUUUCCGUAGCUUCCCGGGUCGAUGUAGAGAAAAAGGUGGUUGGUGGCAGUACGUUGUGACAACAGCUACAAUAGCAGCUAGGUCAUGUCUAGUGCUACUUGAUGAUUAGAGAAGAUGGGCAAUAAUAGUAAUGAGUUUAUUUGGUAUUCAAAUACUCUGGGUCCAUCUUUAGAUUUACAAGCUACACCCACCUGAUGGCCUUCUGGCACUUGAUUGAGUGGGCAGCAGAGACUACGUUUAUAAGAGUCACAAGCACCAAUCUAUCUGAAACAAGUGUUACUUGAAGAAAACCAACACUGCCAUCAAUCGACGGGUUCUUCUUGUUUAUGACUCAUCUGUUGCUGGGUCUGAAAGCAGAAGGAUUUGGCCCAUCGGUUCAGCAUCCACCAAUCGACAGUGAGACGGAUUAUUAUCUCUUGGGCCAACUUCCUCUACUGUCUGCAUGGAUCAGCACGGAUAUGGAUCCCCAAGGAAACCAUCAAAGCCCACCUGCCACCUGAGUUCAAGGACUAUCCAGACACCCAGGUAGUGAUCGACUGCACUGAACUCCACUGCCAGACACCAUCUUCACUACUACUGCAGAGUGAGGUGUUUUCUUCCUACAAGUCACACUGUACCUUUAAGUGCAUGUUGGGAAUGUCACCACAUGGAGCUGUCACUUUUGUGUCGUCGUUGUAUGCUGGAUCUAUGAAUGACAAGGAGAUCUUCAAGCAGUCUGGAAACAUUUCCUUACUCACCCCUGACAUGGCCAUUAUGGUGGAUAAGGGCUUUCUCGUAGAUGACAUUGUUCCGUGCAAGGUCUACCGGCCAGCCUUUCUGUCAAGACGCACACAGAUGCCAGCGCAUGAGGUUAGGGAGACCCAAUCCAUUGCCAGGCUGAGAGUGCAUGUUGAAAGAAUGAUCCGCAGAGUAAAGGAACACAAGCUGUUUGACACAGUCAUCCCCCUGACCAUCUCAGGCAGCAUCAAACAAUUAUUUGCAGUGGUGUGCCUGUUGGUCAACUAUCAAAACGGACCUUUGGUCAGAGCAUGGGCCAAGCCAGUGUAAAUGUGCAUGUGUUUAUUUGCUAGCAGCAAAAUUAUAAUUUGUUUUUCUAUGACAUGUAUCAAUAAAUUGUGUUGCAGUGAA
This is a long non-coding RNA of Salvelinus fontinalis (brook trout), 1906 nucleotides long. RefSeq lists it as uncharacterized. The record is from RefSeq and is a predicted model, not a curated record. Lineage: Eukaryota; Metazoa; Chordata; Actinopteri; Salmoniformes; Salmonidae. The transcript is spliced from 2 exons.